UUCCCUGUGGCUCAGUUGGUAGAGCGUGGUAUUUGCAAUGCCAGGGUUGUAGGUUCGAUUCCCACGGGGGGGG
Molecule: transfer RNA, 73 nt
Filed under: Salmo salar (Atlantic salmon)
Lineage: Eukaryota; Metazoa; Chordata; Actinopteri; Salmoniformes; Salmonidae
Rfam family: tRNA
About the family: Transfer RNA (tRNA) molecules are approximately 80 nucleotides in length.
Source: Rfam by way of RNAcentral